Molecule: non-coding RNA, 359 nt
Organism: Theobroma cacao (cacao)
Lineage: Eukaryota; Viridiplantae; Streptophyta; Magnoliopsida; Malvales; Malvaceae
Source: RefSeq, a predicted model, not a curated record
GAAAAAGUGUGGGAUUUCAAGGGAUUAAGCUAAUAAAGGCUCGAGGUAGCUUGUGGAUAGCAGAUAUUGUCAAGAAUUAUAGUCGGCUUUACUACUCCAAAAACUGAAUAAAAGAAUUGGGCUUAAUUUUGAAAAGUGAGAUGUUGAAAGACCCGAAAGUCUGCUUGCAUAUGCUUCCAUUUUUUGAGCAUAACUCUAGCUACAAAACUCCAAAUGAUGCGAUUCUUAGAUCAUUGGAAAGAUAAGAGACAGAGCUAUAACUUUCAUGCAGAUCACUUUACCCUGUUGUCAAACCCUGCUUUGUAAAAUAAUUAUAAUGUCAUUCACAUGCUCGAUAGAAUGUUUGUAUAUUUAGGAAG